UAACUACUCCCUCUGUCCCAAAUUUCUUGUCUUAGAUUUGUCUAGAUACGGAUGUAUCUAAUACUAAAAUGUGACUUGAUAGAUACAUCCGUAUCUAGACAAAUCUAAGACAAGAAUUUUGGGAUGGAGGGAGUACUUU
Triticum aestivum (bread wheat) is the source of this 139-nucleotide non-coding RNA. The record is from Rfam. Lineage: Eukaryota; Viridiplantae; Streptophyta; Magnoliopsida; Poales; Poaceae.